AGCUCCAGAAGCGUAUAUUAAAGUUGUUGCAGUUAAAACGCUCGUAGUCGGGUUUCGGGUCGGGCCGAGCGGUCUGCCGAUGGGUAUGCACUGUUUGGCGCGGCCUUCUUUCCGGAGACCGCGGCUACUCUUAACUGAGCGGGCGUGGGAGACGGAUCGUUUACUUUGAAAAAAUCAGAGUGUUUCAAGCAGGCAGCUCGCUCUUGCAUGGUACAGCAUGGGAUGAUUGAAUAGGACUCCGGUGCUAUUUUGUUGGUUUCGAACACCAGGAGUAAUGAUUAAUAGGGACAGUUGGGGGUAUUCGUAUUCCAUUGUCAGAGGUGAAAUUCUUGGAUUUACGAAAGAUAAACUUCUGCGAAAGCAUUCGGCAAGGAUGUUUUCAUUG
This 385-nucleotide ribosomal RNA is filed under the name Phaeocystis sp. Its description in RNAcentral is "partial small subunit ribosomal RNA". It matches the Rfam family "Eukaryotic small subunit ribosomal RNA", at positions 587 to 975 of the family's 1831-position model. Lineage: Eukaryota; Haptophyta; Phaeocystales; Phaeocystaceae. The record is from RNAcentral.